Molecule: ribosomal RNA, 395 nt
Filed under: uncultured bacterium
Lineage: Bacteria
Description: bacterial SSU rRNA
Rfam family: Bacterial small subunit ribosomal RNA
Source: RNAcentral
AUUGAACGCUGGCGGCAUGCCUUACACAUGCAAGUCGAACGGCAGCGCGGGGGCAACCCUGGCGGCGAGUGGCGAACGGGUGAGUAAUAUAUCGGAACGUACCCAAGAGUGGGGGAUAACGUAGCGAAAGUUACGCUAAUACCGCAUACGAUCUAAGGAUGAAAGUGGGGGACCGCAAGGCCUCACGCUCCUGGAGCGGCCGAUAUCUGAUUAGCUAGUUGGUGGGGUAAAGGCCUACCAAGGCAUCGAUCAGUAGCUGGCCUGAGAGGACGACCAGCCACACUGGGACUGAGACACGGCCCAGACUCCUACGGGAGGCAGCAGUGGGGAAUUUUGGACAAUGGGGGCGAACCCUGAUCCAGCAAUGCCGCGUGAGUGAAGAAGGCCUCGGGUUG